CUGAGGCGUGACGACGAGGCACUACGGUGCUGAAGCAACAAAUGCCCUGCUUCCAGGAAAAGCCUCUAAGCAUCAGGUAACACGAAAUCGUACCCCAAACCGACACAGGUGGUCAGGUAGAGAAUACCAAGGCGCUUGAGAGAACUCGGGUGAAGGAACUAGGCAAAAUGGUGCCGUAACUUCGGGAGAAGGCACGCUGACA
RNAcentral lists this ribosomal RNA (202 nucleotides) under Salmonella enterica subsp. enterica serovar Saintpaul. Its description in RNAcentral is "partial 23S ribosomal RNA". It matches the Rfam family "Bacterial large subunit ribosomal RNA", at positions 1556 to 1756 of the family's 2925-position model. The record is from RNAcentral. Lineage: Bacteria; Pseudomonadati; Pseudomonadota; Gammaproteobacteria; Enterobacterales; Enterobacteriaceae.